GAUGAACGCUGGCGGCGUGCCUAACACAUGCAAGUCGAGCGAAUAGACUAGGAGCGUGCUUCUCUUUCGCUAGCGGCGGAUGGGUGAGUCACACGCGGAUAACCUCCCUGUAAGACUUAGAUAACUGCGGGAAAGCUGAGUACAUCCCAGAUAAUUUGUUUAACCUCAUGCUUCAAUUAAAAAAGCCGUCCUUUCUGAGAUGUAUCCGUGGAUCCUUGCCUCGUUAGCUAGGUGGUGAGUCACCGGCUUAACAAGGCAACGAUGCGUAGCCGACCUGAUAGGGUGAGCGGCCUCGCUGGAACUGAGACGCGAUCCAGAAUCCUACGGGAGGCAGCAGUAGCGGAUCUUUAGGGAUGGGCGAAAGCGUGAAGGAGCAACGCCGCGUGAAUGAUGAAGGCCUUCGGGUCGUAAAACUCUGUUAUGAGGGAAGAACGAAAGUGUAAGUAACCAUGCACGUCUUGACGGUAACUAAACAGAAAACCAAGGCUAACUACGUG
This 497-nucleotide ribosomal RNA is filed under the name uncultured bacterium. RNAcentral describes it as "partial 16S ribosomal RNA". It matches the Rfam family "Bacterial small subunit ribosomal RNA", at positions 28 to 507 of the family's 1533-position model. The record is from RNAcentral.